Molecule: long non-coding RNA, 266 nt
Organism: Gavialis gangeticus (Gharial)
Lineage: Eukaryota; Metazoa; Chordata; Crocodylia; Gavialidae
Exons: 3
Source: RefSeq, a predicted model, not a curated record
CAUCACUGUUGCUCCAGCUCCCGCUGGAGGACCUGCUGCUGCUGUCGCUGUCAUCUGUUCCACUUGACCCUUCCUCUUCUUCGCUGCCUUCACCCCCCUCUCCACUUGGGGAUGCUUGGAUGAUUCUAUUCCACAUGUCUCUGUGCCAGGUGACAUUAGCUGCGUCUUCUCUGUCCUCUGCUACCGAUUUCUGGUGGUAGGUCCAGAGUUUGCUCAGCACCAUUUUCACACAGCCCACUACCUCUACAUCCUCUUAUGAGCACAGC